GCGUUCGUGGUGUAUCGGUAACAUUGGGUCUUCCCAUAGCAUAUCAAUACAGUUUGUAAUGGCCUAGCACCGGGUUCGACUCCCGGCGGACGCA
Non-coding RNA from Mycena haematopus, 94 nucleotides. NCBI's taxonomy places the organism in Eukaryota, Fungi, Basidiomycota, Agaricomycetes, Agaricales, Mycenaceae. The record is from the annotation of a GenBank genome assembly.